UUCCUUAGAGAUAAGUUGUAGGAAAUAAAAUGCUCUACAAAAAAUGUCCUCUAAAAUUUUCGGAUAAACUUGAUGGUUGCGUCAAAAAAUUAAAAAAAUGUAAAAAUUUAUCGUCAAUCUAGCUUUAACUUUGAAUUACUUUUGAAGAAAUAAAAAUAUCGAAAAAUUAUAAGAGACCGUUUCUGUAGAGCGUCAAAUUUCCCAUAAGAAUUUGUCUUGAACAUUCAAAAGUAUUGGUCUCACCGAGAGCUACAAAAUUUCAAAGCUUAAAAAAUAAACUUUCCCAUGUUAUUUAAACGGAAAAUAGAAAAUUGGGAUGCGGCAGUUGUUGAUACUAAUAUUAAGAGCUCAAACUUUCACAGUAUUUUUUUUUCGUUAUUUCCAACAAUAUUUUCGAUAUAAUGAAGAAAAAAAAAUUAGUCGAUUUUUUUGAAUCAGUCUAAUAUAUAUUUAUGUAUUUUUAAUAUGUUUUUUUUAUAAAUGAUUUUCAUGAGGCACCGAACUCGAAUAAGCAGCGGUAGGAGUAGUUCAGUGCUCGCCACUAGAUCGCACCCAACCUCUUGUGCUGUUCCUGGUUAGAUAUAUAAUUCAGAGUUGUUAUAUUGUAUACUUGGAAACAAUUCUGGCAUAGUGACAAGUUCCUUCUUUGAUGGUAAUAUAGUAUAUCCUAUAUUACAUUGUGACAACAAUGUCCAUUUUUGUUCCCUUGGAUAAUUUUUCUUUACAAUCCAGAAAUAUAAAGUACGUUUCAGUAUUUCGUUAUGAGAAAACCAAUCGUGGGAGCUGUGCAGGGGGCCUUUAAAGGAAAAGAGUGUAUAUAUUAAAUAAAUAUCAGUCAAUAAUCUGGAGAUCUUCAGAAAUUAAGUCAGGAAAACAGUAUUCAUUUACUCUGGAUACACUCUGGUUCCAUUCUCUUCUACAAAGUAUUAUUUUGAAGCAAGAUCGAUCAUUAAUGACUCGACAACUUGAAUAAAUUGCACUAACGUUGUAUGAAUUUCGUACAAUUUACGGUGUUUUAGAAGAAAGGUACUUAAAGUCGUGGCGUAUUUGGCUCAACUCAAACCAAGUUGACUCACAGCUUUCUUUUUAUCA
This is a long non-coding RNA of Microplitis mediator, 1092 nucleotides long. RefSeq lists it as uncharacterized. NCBI's taxonomy places the organism in Eukaryota, Metazoa, Arthropoda, Insecta, Hymenoptera, Braconidae. The record is from RefSeq and is a predicted model, not a curated record. The transcript has 3 exons.